Molecule: long non-coding RNA, 781 nt
Organism: Chlorocebus sabaeus (green monkey)
Lineage: Eukaryota; Metazoa; Chordata; Mammalia; Primates; Cercopithecidae
Source: RefSeq, a predicted model, not a curated record
CAGGUUUGGGACGUGAUGGAGAACGAGCUGCUCAAGUCUCUGGGCUCCUGUGAAAGGAUUGGUGGCAGAAAUGUCCUCAGAGUUGCUGGGAGGAUUCAAUGGAAGAUGCAUGUGAAGCACCUGGCUGAACGCCCAGAGCUCUGCAGACACUCAGGAAUGAGUAAACACGCAGAUUUUCUGCUCCUUUAGACCGGAUAUUCUAAGAAACUUCCUGCUAUGGAUUAACUAGAUCCUGAUUGUGUUUUUCAUUUCCAGGCUUAGAGGAAAUAAAGGAAAUAUCCCAGGAGCAAAAACAAAACACACACAUGCACGCUCUCACGAGUCACCGGCACCCCAGCUGAAAGGUCAGGUCCACACCUGUGGGACCUAUGGGCCUGUUUCUGAGCUCUGUGCUGUCUCUUUGAUCUGAGUGUCUAUCUGAGGCCAGUACCACAGUACCAAAUGUGGUUGCUUUAGAGGAAGUCUUGGAAUCAGAUGGGAGAGCAUAACUCUCACAUGUCAGUCCUCCAUUUCCUGAGGCUUCUUCAGGCGUUCCUGUGUGGUCCACCCUGGAGAACCGCUCCCUCUCCUCUCGAGAGGAACGUGGCUACGGCUGUGUGUGGACCGUUUGGCAGAGGCCCGUCUACUGGAUCCCCUGGUUCAAGGGGUUUGUUCCCGUCUGCUUGUUGAUCUUCCACCUAGUGGCUCCAUCACUCAUUCAAGCCCCCCGAUGUCCUUUUUGGUUAUUGUUUACAUGGUGUGUCUCUUUCCACCUUUCCCCGUUGGACUCUGACGCGUCUCU